This is a long non-coding RNA of Rhinichthys klamathensis goyatoka, 228 nucleotides long. RefSeq lists it as uncharacterized. Lineage: Eukaryota; Metazoa; Chordata; Actinopteri; Cypriniformes; Leuciscidae. The record is from RefSeq and is a predicted model, not a curated record. The transcript has 3 exons.
CGAGGAAUUCAGUUAUAAAUGGACCAAGGAGCAGACGGCUGCAUUUAUAAAAUUACGGGCCGAAAAUGACCACUUGUUUACAGGGGCCAAAAACUCGGCCACUGUGGCUUGGAGGAGAAUUCUGGAGAAAAUGGACCUGCUAGGGAAGGUCACUCCCUUGCAGGCCAAAAGAAAAUGGGACAACUUAAAAAAAAAAAUACAAAGAAAGCAAGUUAAUUGACACAUCUU